CAGACUGAUUUCCGAUUCUACUGGAUGAAUUCAAAGUUACCAGAAGAAGAAGGACUUGGAGAGAAAACCAAGAUUAAUCCCUUUAAGUUUGUGGGGCUUAAGAAUUUCCCGUGUACCCCUGAGAGCCUGUGCAAGGUGCUGUCUAUGGAUUUUCCUUUUGAGUUAACAGACAAUUAAGAAAACAUUUGGAGGUCUGGAGAGUUAAAGAGUACUAGCUGCUCUUCCAGAGGUCCUGAGUUCAGUUCCCAGCAAACCACACAGUGACUCACAACUGAUGAUGUGAUCUGAUCUGAUGCCCUUUUCUGGUAUGCAGGUGUAUAUGUAGAUAGAGCACUCAUACAUAAAUAAAUAAAAAUCUUAAAAG
This 364-nucleotide long non-coding RNA is filed under the name Rattus norvegicus (Norway rat). RNAcentral describes it as "long non-coding RNA NONRATT027722". The record is from RNAcentral. Lineage: Eukaryota; Metazoa; Chordata; Mammalia; Rodentia; Muridae.